RNAcentral lists this ribosomal RNA (253 nucleotides) under uncultured bacterium. Its description in RNAcentral is "partial 16S ribosomal RNA". It matches the Rfam family "Bacterial small subunit ribosomal RNA", at positions 524 to 776 of the family's 1533-position model. The record is from RNAcentral.
UACAGAGGUCUCAAGCGUUGUUCGGAUUCAUUGGGCGUAAAGGGUGCGUAGGCGGCGCGGUAAGUCGGGUGUGAAAUCUUGGAGCUUAACUCCGAAACUGCAUUCGAUACUGCCGUGCUUGAGGACUAGAGAGGAGACUGGAAUUUACGGUGUAGCGGUGAAAUGCGUAGAUAUCGUAAGGAAGACCAGUGGCGAAGGCGGGUCUCUGGACAGUUCCUGACGCUGAGGCACGAAGGCCAGGGGAGCAAACGGG